Molecule: long non-coding RNA, 421 nt
Filed under: Rattus norvegicus (Norway rat)
Lineage: Eukaryota; Metazoa; Chordata; Mammalia; Rodentia; Muridae
Description: long non-coding RNA NONRATT016546
Source: RNAcentral
UUGUCGGGAGGGUUUGGAGUUCUUGCUUUGCGUUGACCCUGCAGAAUUGAGCCCGACUUGGGUUGCAUGCUUUCGUGGUACCGACCUUGUGUCUCCUCACCUCUUCCCUCCUUGCACCGACAGUCAAGCCACAGGAUGCCGGGCGUCUCAGCCCAUGGCCUCUCGUGUGAGGAGAGAAGGCAACUGGCUGUGGACCUCACCCGCGUCCUAGCUCUCUACCGUUCCAUCCUGGACGCCUACAUUAUCGUGAGGCCACUGGGCUGAGGGCGGGGUGCUUCUUAUGGUGGGGUUGAUUAGGAGCCCACUGCAAAGCUUUUAUCUCUUCCUUAUGAGAAAAGCUGAAAACUAGAAUAAUUCCUACCCAGCCUUCUGUCUCUAAUACUUAAAUUUUAGUUGGUUAUUUGUAAUCCCCGAGAUUUUC